CCAAAUAAGGGCUUGUUUAUCACAAUGCUUUUGGGUGGCAGCUGCGGCUCUCCACACCUGCUGCUCAGUUCCCAGCUGCUGGGAAUCUCAGUCGCAUGCAUCGGGGAAUGUGAAGAUAAAUCUGUUUGCCAAUCUUCCCCAGCAUAGUUGUCCACCACUGCACAGGCUCUAAAGAGGAGGUUUUUGAGGAUGCCUUCAGGAUUGGCUUUGGAAGUGAGUCAGCAGAGCUGAUGGCUGUGGAAGAGGCUCAAACAGAGGAGGUCACAAAGGGAGCCUUUUUUGCAGUUCCAACACAGAUUCCCCAGGACAACACUGCAGCUGACCAUGGGCUGAAGCUUCCUAAACAGACGAAACGUGUGUUUAUCUACUGAUCACUCUGGGUGAAUGGUAGUCAUGGAGGCCGAGUAACACUGUGGGCUUUGCACCCCGCCCUGCCUGGGAUAACUUGGGAACUUCGUGCUGGGGGAUGCCUGAAAACACAAUAAAAGUGAAGGUUGAGUCUGUGAUUUCUGCAAACACAGCCUCAAAUGAAGAAUUGGCUACCACAGACUGCCCUGGCCCACGACGUGCCCAUCCGGGGAUGAAAUGGCUACCACAGACUGCCCUGGCCCACGACGUGCCCAUCCGGGGAUGAGACUAACCCAAGCUUUCGUGUGGCAUGAAGGGCAACACCCCCUCACAAGCAGAAGCAUGCAGGGAAGAAAGCAUCAGGGCAAAGACAGUUCCUGGAUGAACACCUACUUGUCAUUGGUGAAGAUGUAGGCAACCACAUCCUUCAAGGCAGCGAGCAGAAUUCCCACCAGGAGCGCACAGACACCUGGGAAAUAAGGAGGGCUCACAGGAGACAACAGUUCUCCAGAACAUGACUACGCUUCUCAGGGGAGAUCUGUGUCAGUUAAUCAAGAAAGGGUGAAAUUUCAUUCCCAAAGCAGAAGCACGGUGACCAAAUCAUGAGGGCCCUGCGGCCAGGCAUGGGACAGAGAAGCCGAGAAUAGCUGAGAUGAAAAACCCUGGACACCUCUUCCUGGCAAGUGGGCACAGCAAGUGAAGUGUUCGCUUUACAGAUCCCUACUCCAUCAAGGAAGACACCCUGAGGAUCAAAGUCGGGUAAGGUGAGCUUCCUGCGUGGCAGGGGUCUCAGGAGUCAAGUGUGCGAAGGGGAGCAGGACAGCUUUGAGGACAACUGAAGGAGGCAGUGUCCACGGUAGGUCACUGCUGCUGUCUGAACUAUAAACAUUACCAGAA
This is a long non-coding RNA of Mastomys coucha (southern multimammate mouse), 1245 nucleotides long. RefSeq lists it as uncharacterized. Lineage: Eukaryota; Metazoa; Chordata; Mammalia; Rodentia; Muridae. The record is from RefSeq and is a predicted model, not a curated record. The transcript is spliced from 6 exons.